Molecule: unclassified non-coding RNA, 247 nt
Filed under: uncultured Ascomycota
Lineage: Eukaryota; Fungi; Ascomycota
Description: sequence contains 5.8S rRNA gene, ITS2, 28S rRNA gene
Source: RNAcentral
AACGCACAUUGCGCCUCCUGGUAUUCCGGGAGGCACGCCUGUUCGAGCGCCAUUUCGACCUCCAAGCUUUGCUUGAUGUUGGACGAUGUCUGAGCGACACGUCUGGAACGUAUCGGCGUCCGGCGUCGACCGCGAGCGUAGCAAAUGUUGUCGCUGCGUGUGUCGGCCCCGGUACGCCUGUCCGUGCGUCUUGGACGCAUACCAAAAGGUUGGCCUCGGAUCAGGUGGGGAUACCCGCUGAACUUAA